Long non-coding RNA from Oncorhynchus masou masou (cherry salmon), 682 nucleotides. RefSeq lists it as uncharacterized. The record is from RefSeq and is a predicted model, not a curated record. The transcript has 4 exons. NCBI's taxonomy places the organism in Eukaryota, Metazoa, Chordata, Actinopteri, Salmoniformes, Salmonidae.
CCUAAAGACGCAGGGAUACUGAGAGAGGAGAGAGCGGGCUGUUGAGGGCAGUAGGCAAGAGAGAGUCGGCACCCCCUCCUAAAGACGCAGGGGUACUGAGAGAGGAGAGAGCGGGCUGUUGAGGGCAGUAGGCAAGAGAGAGUCGGCACCCCCCUCCUAAAGACGCAGGGGUACUGAGAGAGGAGAGAGCGGGCUGUUGAGGUCAGUAGGCAGGAGAGAGUCAGAGAGUGAGAGUGGAGUCGUUUUGCUGUGGCUCCUCAGUAAAGCCAAGUUGGAGACAGAAGGCAUUGUAUUGACAGCAGCAUGAUCCUUAUCACAUUUGGACUCUACCUUCCACUAUUGUUUUGUUAUGUCUUGUCUCAGUCCUCUUUCCUGGACAAUAUUCUCUCAUUCCCAGCAGCUCUCCAACAACAACCUGCCGUGGACCAGCAGAGGAAAUUCAACCCCUGUUGUUUACUGAGUCCACCCCCGCCCCCCCUAUUCCCUCCUCCUCCCUCACUGUGGCAUCCCAGUGGUCAUAAUGAGGAGACCAGUAAGGGAGGUAAUCACAGACCAGAUCCAGAUACAGGGACGGAGCUGAAAGGGCCCAGCUGUGUCCCAGGCCCCCCUGGCCCCAACGGACCCCCCGGGCCUCAGGGUCCAGCUGGGCUACCAGGUCUGACGGGACCAAAAGGUGAAAAGG